This 484-nucleotide ribosomal RNA is filed under the name uncultured bacterium. RNAcentral describes it as "partial 16S ribosomal RNA". It matches the Rfam family "Bacterial small subunit ribosomal RNA", at positions 38 to 507 of the family's 1533-position model. The record is from RNAcentral.
GGGGGGGGGGGGGGGGGGGGGGGGGGGGGGGGGGGGGGGCGGGGGGGGGGGGCUUGCGCCGGGAUUCAGCGGCGGGCGGGUGGGUAAUGCCUAGGAAUCGGCCUGGUAGUGGUGGAUAACGUCCGGAAACGGGCGCUAAUACCGCAUACGUCCUGAGGGAGAAAGUGGGGGGUCUUCGGACCUCACGCUCUCAGCUGAUCCUAGGUCUGAUUCUCUAGUUGUGGGGGUAACGGCCUACCAAGGCGACGAUCCGUAACUGGUCUGAGAGGAUGAUCAGUCACGCUGGAACUGAGACACGGUCCAGACUCCUACGGGAGGCAGCAGUGGGGAAUAUUGGACAAUGGGCGAAAGCCUGAUCCAGCCAUGCCGCGUGUGUGAAGAAGGUCUUCGGAUUGUAAAGCACUUUAAGUUGGGAGGAAGGGCAGUAAGUUAAUACCUUGCUGUUUUGACGUUACCAACAGAAUAAGCACCGGCUAACUUCGUG